This 71-nucleotide transfer RNA is filed under the name Platysternon megacephalum (big-headed turtle). RNAcentral's name for it is "tRNA-Ser". It matches the Rfam family "tRNA". Rfam says of the family: Transfer RNA (tRNA) molecules are approximately 80 nucleotides in length. Their secondary structure includes four short double-helical elements and three loops (D, anti-codon, and T loops). Lineage: Eukaryota; Metazoa; Chordata; Testudines; Platysternidae. The record is from RNAcentral.
AAGAAGGUAGCAUAAAGGUUAUGUAGUUGGCUUGAAACUAAUUUAAGGGGGUUCAAUUCCCUCCUUUCUUG